UACGAAGGGGGCUAGCGUUGCUCGGAAUCACUGGGCGUAAAGCGCACGUAGGCGGCUUUCUAAGUCAGGGGUGAAAUCCUGGAGCUCAACUCCAGAACUGCCUUUGAUACUGGAGAGCUUGAGUCCGGGAGAGGUGAGUGGAACUCCGAGUGUAGAGGUGAAAUUCGUAGAUAUUCGGAAGAACACCCGUGGCUAAGGCGGCUCUCUAGUACGGUACUGACGCUGAGGUGCGAAAGCGUGGGGAGCAAACAGG
This 253-nucleotide ribosomal RNA is filed under the name uncultured bacterium. RNAcentral describes it as "partial 16S ribosomal RNA". It matches the Rfam family "Bacterial small subunit ribosomal RNA", at positions 524 to 776 of the family's 1533-position model. The record is from RNAcentral.